Molecule: ribosomal RNA, 372 nt
Filed under: uncultured eukaryote
Lineage: Eukaryota
Description: SSU rRNA
Rfam family: Eukaryotic small subunit ribosomal RNA
Source: RNAcentral
CCAGCAGCCGCGGUAAUUCCAGCUCCAAGAGCGUAUAUUAAAGUUGUUGCAGUUAAAAAGCUCGUAGUUGGAUUUCUGGUACAAUGCGCCUGGCCCGCCAAGGUUACUUGUGUGAGUGCCGGUGCGCGUUUGCCAUCCUUCUAGAGAACGUUUCUACCCUUCGCUGGGCCGGACUCGCGAUCUAGAUCUUUUACUUUGAAAAAAUUAGAGUGUUUAAAGCAGGCUAUCGCUAUGAAUACAUUAGCAUGGAAUAAUAAUCUAGGACUUCGGUUCUAUUUUGUUGGUUUCUAGUACUGAAGUAAUGAUUGAUAGGGAUAGUUGGGGGUGCUAGUAUUGGCCGGCCAGAGGUGAAAUUCUUGGAUUCGGUCAAGA